GACGGCGCGGUUGGGCUAAUCAGCAUUCACCUUGCCUUUUACCAGAUGAAUCCUUGGCCCACCGCAACCAGCCGCAUUAUCAAAUCUUUGGGACCAUUAGUUCGUGAUGAAC
This 112-nucleotide small nuclear RNA is filed under the name Pseudocercospora musae. Its description in RNAcentral is "Mycosphaerella musicola U5 spliceosomal RNA". It matches the Rfam family "U5 spliceosomal RNA". From Rfam's summary of the family: U5 RNA is a component of both types of known spliceosome. The precise function of this molecule is unknown, though it is known that the 5' loop is required for splice site selection and p220 binding, and that both the 3' stem-loop and the Sm site are important for Sm protein binding and cap methylation. Lineage: Eukaryota; Fungi; Ascomycota; Dothideomycetes; Mycosphaerellales; Mycosphaerellaceae. The record is from Rfam by way of RNAcentral.